RNAcentral lists this transfer RNA (64 nucleotides) under Scolytinae sp. BMNH 1274299. RNAcentral describes it as "tRNA-Gly". Lineage: Eukaryota; Metazoa; Arthropoda; Insecta; Coleoptera; Curculionidae. The record is from RNAcentral.
ACUUAUAUAAUAUAAAUAAUUAUAUUUGAUUUCCAAUCAAAAAAUCUAGCUAUUAGUUUAAGUA